RNAcentral lists this ribosomal RNA (253 nucleotides) under uncultured Eubacteriales bacterium. Its description in RNAcentral is "uncultured Clostridiales bacterium partial 16S ribosomal RNA". It matches the Rfam family "Bacterial small subunit ribosomal RNA", at positions 524 to 776 of the family's 1533-position model. Lineage: Bacteria; Bacillati; Bacillota; Clostridia; Eubacteriales. The record is from RNAcentral.
UACGUAGGAGGCAAGCGUUAUCCGGAAUGACUGGGCGUAAAGGGUGCGUAGGUGGUUUGGCAAGUUAGUAGCGUAACCCCGGGGCUCAACCUCGGAACUACUACUAAAACUGUCGGACUUGAGUGCAGGAGGGGCAAUUGGAAUUCCUAGAGUAGCGGUGGAAUGCGUAGAUAUAUGGAAGAACACCAGUGGCGAAGGCGGCUCUCUGGUCUGCAACUGACGCUGAGGCUCGAAAGCAUGGGUAGCGAACAGG